GUACAUAUGAUGUGAGCUUAUAUGUAUGAGUUAUCCAGUGAAACUGUAAACGCUUUCUGAUGUA
This is a small nucleolar RNA of Polyodon spathula (Mississippi paddlefish), 64 nucleotides long. RefSeq annotates it as small nucleolar RNA Z39. The transcript has a single exon. NCBI's taxonomy places the organism in Eukaryota, Metazoa, Chordata, Actinopteri, Acipenseriformes, Polyodontidae. The record is from RefSeq and is a predicted model, not a curated record.